This 253-nucleotide ribosomal RNA is filed under the name uncultured bacterium. RNAcentral describes it as "partial 16S ribosomal RNA". It matches the Rfam family "Bacterial small subunit ribosomal RNA", at positions 524 to 776 of the family's 1533-position model. The record is from RNAcentral.
UACAGAGGGGGCUAGCGUUGUUCGGAAUUACUGGGCGUAAAGCGCACGUAGGCGGCUUUGUAAGUUAGAGGUGAAAGCCCGGGGCUCAACUCCGGAAUUGCCUUUAAGACUGCAUCGCUAGAAUUGUGGAGAGGUAAGUGGAAUUCCGAGUGUAGCAGUGAAAUGUGCAGAUAUUCGGAAGAACACCAGUGGCGAAGGCAGCAGAUUGGGCCGGUAUUGACGCUCAGGCACGAAAGCAUGGGGAUCAAACAGG